This 433-nucleotide ribosomal RNA is filed under the name uncultured bacterium. Its description in RNAcentral is "partial 16S ribosomal RNA". It matches the Rfam family "Bacterial small subunit ribosomal RNA", at positions 29 to 507 of the family's 1533-position model. The record is from RNAcentral.
AACGAACGCUGGCGGCAUGCCUAACACAUGCAAGUCGAACGAGCCCUUCGGGUCUAGUGUCGCACGGGUUCGUAACGCGUGGGAACCUGCCCUUAGGUUCGGAAUAACUCCCCGAAAGGGGUGCUAAUACCGGAUAAUGUCUUCGGCCCAAAGAUUUAUCGCCUUUGGAUGGGCCCGCGUUGGAUUAGCUAGUUGGUAGGGUAAAAGCCUACCAAGGCGACGAUCCAUAGCUGGUCUGAGAGGAUGAUCAGCCACACUGGGACUGAGACACGGCCCAGACUCCUACGGGAGGCAGCAGUGGGGAAUAUUGGACAAUGGGGGAAAGCCUGAUCCAGCAAUGCCGCGUGAGUGAUGAAGGCAUGAGGGUUGUAAAGCGCUUGUACCCGGGAUGAUAAUGACAGUACCGGGAGAAUAAGCUACGGCUAACUCCGUG